UUGACCUCGGAUCAGGUAGGACUACCCGCUGAACUUAAGCAUAUCAAUAAGCGGAGGAAAAGAAACCAACAGGGAUUGCCCCAGUAACGGCGAGUGAAGCGGCAACAGCUCAGAUUUGGAAUCUGGCCCCCAGGGCCCGAGUUGUAAUCUGGAGAGGAUGCUUCUGGCGCGGCGCCUUCCGAGUUCCCUGGAACGGGACGCCGGAGAGGGUGAGAGCCCCGUACGGUUGGACGCCUAGCCUUUGUGAAGCUCCUUCGACGAGUCGAGUAGUUUGGGAAUGCUGCUCAAAAUGGGAGGUAAAUUUCUUCUAAAGCUAAAUACCGGCCAGAGACCGAUAGCGCACAAGUAGAGUGAUCGAAAGAUGAAAAGCACUUUGAAAAGAGGGUCAAACAGUACGUGAAAUUGUUGAAAGGGAAGCGCCCGUGGCCAGACUUGUGCCCCGCGGAACACCCGGCGCCCUCAGCGCCGGUGCACUCCGCGGGGCGCAGGCCAGCAUCGGUUUUCCUAGGGGGAUAAAGGCGGCGGGAA
Molecule: ribosomal RNA, 528 nt
Filed under: Leptographium terebrantis
Lineage: Eukaryota; Fungi; Ascomycota; Sordariomycetes; Ophiostomatales; Ophiostomataceae
Description: eukaryotic LSU rRNA
Rfam family: Eukaryotic large subunit ribosomal RNA
Source: RNAcentral